AAAGGUAGACAGGCUUUUAAUGGCAUGAUCAAGAAUCCCCUGGAAAUAACAAAUCUAAUGACAGCUGUGUCUGAUAUGAACAAGAAAUGGCGUCAUCGUUUAUUUCUUUUCAAGACGUGAUCCGAAGUGAUGACAGAUGCCAGUGGGUCUGUCCACAGACGGGGCCUCUGUGAUGCAUGCCAGAUUUGAUGGCCAAGAACUUGCCAUGCAGUUGAACCGGAUUGUGGUUCCUCGAUCGGAGUUGUACAUUCUGUCUGCAGUGUGUAAACAUUCUCCAGCUGCUUUCCUAAAGAAUGCAAAGAGGAUAUGUAGAGAGGUUUAGCCUUGGGACCUGGUCGCACUUCCAGGCAGGCGGUACCAAGGAGCAGAAGUCCUGUCUCCAGGCCAAAAGAUUUUGUCAGACUGUGCCAGAGGCGAAGAAAAACAACAUCGGUGCGCCAGGUACAAUGUCUGAGUGUAGAGUCACAUGCUAAAAGGAGAUAUACAAAAUUAUCUGCAUUUCCAGCUCCAAUUCCUGUCCGGAGCAGCAGCAGCCCAGGUCCCUUGGCGCAGCAGUGUUGCUGACUCUGUGUUCACACACACUGUUGGACCUGGACUUCACCUAAAGCUCCGCAUCCCGCAGAGCCCAUCACACCCAUCACCUGCAAGUGAUGGGCUGAGCCUCUGCCUGGUGCCCCAGCAGAAAACACCAGCCCCUGCCUCCUCCAGAGGCCCUGUGCCAGACCCCCCUGGGCUCAGGGCAGAGCAGAGCAGCUCCUGGCCAGCCCCAUGCUGAUACCACCCCAGCAGUACCCUCGCCAAAGAGAGAUCUCACCCCUGCAGCCCUCUGCUUUGGGAGCUAAGAGGAGGAGUUCUCACCUUGGUCCCUACCAGGAACCCACCUCUGGAUCUGCUGUGGUGGCUCCCUUUCAGCACAGAGGGCAUCAAUGCAUGCUUUAAACCUGCUGUCCAGACAUUUGCAGCUCCAGAAAUAAAAUGAAACGUUUCAGUCAAGCUAGAAAAAACUCAUUUGAUACCAAACUUAUUGUGUCCACAUGGGACUUUUAGUGUGUUCUCAAGAUUAAACUGCAGUUGAUUGAUGUGCUGGAAAAGGCCUUUGGUGGGCAUCAGUGCACAUGGAAUACUGGUGGGGUCAUGCCACGGGUCAGCACAGAGAAGAAAGAAGUGUGCUAAGGGACCAUUGAGCUGCUACUGGAGCUGGUCAGGCUAUCAACAGAUCCUUAGCCAUCUUACAGAGGACCUAUCCUGAGAAAAUACCUCUGUGUUGGAAAGGAGAAACUUCAAAGCUUUUCUUGCCCCAAUACAACUUGCUUUGGAUUGCAGAGUUUCAACUAGCAAGAAAACCAUGCUUGUGUUAACUGAGGGCAGCCACCAGACCCUGGUCCAUGGCACACAGAGAUGUGUGGCAGCCCAGCACUUACC
Molecule: long non-coding RNA, 1422 nt
Filed under: Strigops habroptila (Kakapo)
Lineage: Eukaryota; Metazoa; Chordata; Aves; Psittaciformes; Psittacidae
Description: lncRNA (ENSSHBG00005015011.1)
Source: RNAcentral